CGGACGGGUGAGUAACACUGGGUAACCUACCUAUAAGACUGGGACAACUUCGGGAAACCGGAGCUAAUACCGGAUAAGAUAUCGAACCGCAUGGUUCGAUAGUGAAAGANGGUUUUGCUAUCACUUAUAGAUGGACCCGCGCCGUAUUAGCUAGUUGGUGAGGUAACGGCUCACCAAGGCAACGAUACGUAGCCGACCUGAGAGGGUGAUCGGCCACACUGGAACUGAGACACGGUCCAGACUCCUACGGGAUGCAGCAGCG
This 262-nucleotide ribosomal RNA is filed under the name uncultured Staphylococcus sp. RNAcentral's name for it is "partial 16S ribosomal RNA". It matches the Rfam family "Bacterial small subunit ribosomal RNA", at positions 99 to 356 of the family's 1533-position model. The record is from RNAcentral. Lineage: Bacteria; Bacillati; Bacillota; Bacilli; Caryophanales; Staphylococcaceae.